This 253-nucleotide ribosomal RNA is filed under the name uncultured bacterium. Its description in RNAcentral is "partial 16S ribosomal RNA". It matches the Rfam family "Bacterial small subunit ribosomal RNA", at positions 524 to 776 of the family's 1533-position model. The record is from RNAcentral.
UACGUAGGCAGCAAGCGUUGUUCGGAAUCACUGGGCUUAAAGGGUGCGUAGGCGGCCAUGUAAGUGAGGUGUGAAAUCCCUCGGCUCAACCGAGGAACUGCGCUUCAUACUGCAUGGCUUGAGGGAGACAGGGGUAAGCGGAACUGAUGGUGGAGCGGUGAAAUGCGUUGAUAUCAUCAGGAACACCGGUGGCGAAAGCGGCUUACUGGGUCUCUUCUGACGCUGAGGUACGAAAGCUAGGGUAGCGAACGGG